Molecule: ribosomal RNA, 260 nt
Filed under: uncultured bacterium
Lineage: Bacteria
Description: partial 16S ribosomal RNA
Rfam family: Bacterial small subunit ribosomal RNA
Source: RNAcentral
AUCCUUAGUUGCCAGCAGUCCGGCUGGGCACUCUAGGGAAACUGCCCGUGAUAAGCGGGAGGAAGGUGUGGAUGACGUCAAGUCCUCAUGGCCCUUACGGGUUGGGCUACACACGUGCUACAAUGGUGGUGACAGUGGGUUAAUCCCCAAAAGCCAUCUCAGUUCGGAUUGUCGUCUGCAACUCGACGGCAUGAAGUCGGAAUCGCUAGUAAUCGCGGAACAGCAUGCCGCGGUGAAUACGUUCCCGGGCCUUGUACACA